This 74-nucleotide transfer RNA is filed under the name Planctomyces sp. RNAcentral describes it as "tRNA-Val". It matches the Rfam family "tRNA". Rfam says of the family: Transfer RNA (tRNA) molecules are approximately 80 nucleotides in length. Their secondary structure includes four short double-helical elements and three loops (D, anti-codon, and T loops). Lineage: Bacteria; Pseudomonadati; Planctomycetota; Planctomycetia; Planctomycetales; Planctomycetaceae. RNAcentral also lists the same sequence under 4 other names. The record is from RNAcentral.
GGUCGCAUAGCUCAGUUGGCUAGAGCACAGUCCUCACACGACUGGGGUCACAGGUUCAAGUCCUGUUGCGACCA